RNAcentral lists this ribosomal RNA (440 nucleotides) under Phaeocystis sp. JD-2012. Its description in RNAcentral is "SSU rRNA". It matches the Rfam family "Eukaryotic small subunit ribosomal RNA", at positions 442 to 885 of the family's 1831-position model. The record is from RNAcentral. Lineage: Eukaryota; Haptophyta; Phaeocystales; Phaeocystaceae.
UCCCGAAUCCUGACACAGGGAGGUAGUGACAAGAAAUAACAAUACAGGGCUACUUCUAGUCUUGUAAUUGGAAUGAGUACAACUUACAUCUCUUCACGAGGAUCAAUUGGAGGGCAAGUCUGGUGCCAGCAGCCGCGGUAAUUCCAGCUCCAAAAGCGUAUAUUAAAGUUGUUGCAGUUAAAACGCUCGUAGUCGGGUUUCGGGUCGGGCCGAGCGGUCUGCCGAUGGGUAUGCACUGUUUGGCGCGGCCUUCUUUCCGGAGACCGCGGCUACUCUUAACUGAGCGGGCGUGGGAGACGGAUCGUUUACUUUGAAAAAAUCAGAGUGUUUCAAGCAGGCAGCUCGCUCUUGCAUGGUACAGCAUGGGAUGAUUGAAUAGGACUCCGGUGCUAUUUUGUUGGUUUCGAACACCAGGAGUAAUGAUUAACAGGGACAGUCAG